GACGAACGCUGGCGGCGUGCUUAACACAUGCAAGUCGAACGGAAAGGCCCUGCUUUUGUGGGGUGCUCGAGUGGCGCACGGGUGAGUAACACGUGAGUAACCUGCCCUUGAUUUUGGGAUAACUUCAGGAAACUGGGGCUAAUACCGGAUAUGAUCUCCUGCUGCAUGGUGUGGGUUGGAAAGUUUCGGCGGUUGGGGAUGGACUCGCGGCUUAUCCGCUUGUUGGUGGGGUAGUGGCUUACCAAGGCUUUGACGGGUAGCCGGCCUGAGAGGGUGACCGGCCACAUUGGGACUGAGAUACGGCCCAGACUGCUACGGGAGGCAGCAGUGGGGAAUAUUGCAGAAUGGGCGGAAGCCUGAUGCAGAAACGCCGGGUGCGGGAUGACGGCCUUCGGGUGGUAAACAGCUGUCGCCUGUGACGAAGCGUGAGUGACGGUAAUGGGUAAAGAAGCACCGGCUAACUACGUG
RNAcentral lists this ribosomal RNA (468 nucleotides) under uncultured bacterium. Its description in RNAcentral is "partial 16S ribosomal RNA". It matches the Rfam family "Bacterial small subunit ribosomal RNA", at positions 28 to 507 of the family's 1533-position model. The record is from RNAcentral.